AACGCGAAGAACCUUACCAGGGCUUGACAUCCUGCGCUCACCUAAGAGAUUAGGUUUCCCAGCAAUGGGACGCAGAGACAGGUGCUGCAUGGCUGUCGUCAGCUCGUGCCGUGAGGUGUUGGGUUAAGUCCCGCAACGAGCGCAACCCUUGCCGUGUGUUGGUCCACAAGACCUCUCACGCGGGACCGCCGGUGACAAGCCGGAGGAAGGUGGGGAUGACGUCAAGUCAGCAUGGCCCUUACGUCCUGGGCUACACACGUGCUACAAUGGAACGGACAACGAGUCGCGAACCCGCGAGGGUAAGCUAAUCUCCUAAACCGUUUCUCAGUUCGGAUUGGAGGCUGCAACUCGCCUCCAUGAAGUCGGAAUCGCUAGUAACCGCAGAUCAGCUACGCUGCGGUGAAUACGUUCCCGGGCCUUGUA
This 423-nucleotide ribosomal RNA is filed under the name uncultured bacterium. Its description in RNAcentral is "bacterial SSU rRNA". It matches the Rfam family "Bacterial small subunit ribosomal RNA", at positions 958 to 1385 of the family's 1533-position model. The record is from RNAcentral.